AAAAAAUCCCCCAAAAUCCCCCCAAAAUUACCGCAACCCCCCCAAAAUCCCUCAAAUCCCCCCCACCCCCCCAAAUUUCCCCGAAAUUUCCACAAAAUUCCCCCAAAAUCCCCCCAAAAUCACCCAAAUUUUCCCUCAAAUUCCCCAAAAUUCCCCAUAAUCCCCCAAAUUUCCCCCGGAUUUCCACAAAAUCUUCCCAAAAUCCCCCCAACCCCCCCCCAAAAUCCCCCAAAAUUCCCCAAAAUCCCCCCAAAAUUCCCCAGAUUUCCCCAAAACCCCACAAAUUUUCCCCAAAACCCCCUGAAUUUCCCCCAAAUUUCCCCAAAAUCUCCCCAAAUCCCCUCAAACUUCAUCAAACUCCCUCAAAAUUCCCCAAAAUCCCCCAAAUCCCCCAAAAUUCCCCAAAAUCCCCCCCAAAAUCCCCCCAAUUUUCCCCCAAAUUUCCCCCGAAUUUCCCCAAAAUUCCCCCCAAAAUUCCCCAAAACCACCCAAAUCCCCCACAAAAUCCCCCAAAUUUCCCCAAAAUACCCCCAAAAUGCCCCAAUUUUCUCUAAAAUCCCCCAAAUUUCCCCCGAAUUUCCCCAAAAUUCCCCCCAAAAUUCCCCAAAACCACCCAAACCCCCCCCGAAAUCCCCCCAAAAUCCCCCAAAUCCCCCAAAAUCCCUCAAUUUCCCCCAAACUCCCCCAAAAUUCCCCAAAUUUUCCCCAAAUUUCCCCAAAAUCUUCCCAAAAUCCCCCAAAAUCCCCCCAAAAUUCGCCAAAUUUCCCCCUAAUUUCCCCCAAAUCCCCUCAAACUCCCCCAAAUUUCCCCAAAAUCCCCCAAAUUUCCCCAAAUCCCCCCAAAUUCCCCUCCCCACCUUGCAGUAGCGGCAGUAGCGGCAGACGGAGCCGGGCCGGUACCGCCCUUCGGCCUCACCUUCCUCCUCCUCCUCCUCCUCCUCUUCCUCACUCCCUGUGUUGGGGGAUGGGGUCAGAUGUCCCCAAAAUUCCCCAAAAUUCCCCAAAAUUCCCCCAAAAUCCCCCCAAAUCUCCCAAAAUCCACCCAAAAUCCAUCCAAAAUCCCCCAAAAACCCCCCAAAAAAUCCCACCUUCCUCCUCCUCCUCUUCCUCACUCCCUGCGUUUGGGGGAUGGGCUCAAAUAUCCCCAAAAAUCCCCAAAAUUCCCCCAAAAUUCCCCCAAAAAUCCCCCAAAAAUUCCCGAAAAAAUCCCCAAAAAAUUCCCACCUUCCUCCUCCUCCUCCUCCUCCUCCUCUUCCUCACUCCCUGCGUUCGGGGGAUGGGCUCAAAUAUCCCCAAAAAUCCCAAAAUUCCCCCAAAAUCCCCCAAAAUCCCCCAAAAUCCACCCAAAAAUUCCCAAAAAUUUCCCACCUUCCUCCUCCUCCUCUUCCUCACUCCCUGCAUUUGGGGGAUGGGGUCAAAUGUCCCCAAAAAUCCCCAAAAUUCCCCCAAAAACCCCCAAAAACCCCCCCAAAAAUUCCCACCUUCCUCCUCCUCCUCUUCCUCACUCCCUGCGUUGGGGGGAUGGGCUCAAAUAUCCCCAAAAAUCCCCAAAAUUCCCCCAAAAAUCCACCCAAAUCCACCCCAAAAUCCACCCAAAAUCCCCAAAAUUCCCCCAAAAAAUCCCCAAAAAAAUCCCACCUUCCUCCUCCUCCUCUUCCUCACUCCCUGCGUUCGGGGGAUGGGCUCAAAUAUCCCCAAAAAUCCCCAAAAUUCCCCAAAAUCCACCCAAAAAUUCCCAAAAAAUUCCCACCUUCCUCCUCCUCCUCUUCCUCGGAGCUGUGGCCGCCAUCUUCCUCUUCCUCAUCUUCAUCAUCGUCAUCGCUGCCUUCCUCCUCCUCCUCCUCCUCAGAGCUGGGGGGGCUGCGGCCUUCAUCAUCAUCAUCAUCGUCAUCGUCGUCAUGGUGAUGGUGGCCUUCAUCCACCCGGGCUUGACCUUCAUCAUCAUCGUCAUGGCGAUGGUGACCUUCAUCCACCCUCGGUUGGCCUUCAUCAUCGUCGUCAUGGUGAUGGUGGCCUUCAUCCACCCUCGGUUGACCUUCAUCAUCAUCGUCAUGGUGAUGGUGGCCUUCAUCCACCCUCGGUUGACCUUCAUCAUCAUCGUCAUGGUGACGGUGGCCUUCAUCCACCCUCGGUUGGCCUUCAUCAUCAUCGUCAUGGCGAUGGUGGCCUUCAUCCACCCUCGGUUGACCUUCAUCAUCGUCAUGGUGAUGGUGGCCUUCAUCCACCCGGGCUUGACCUUCAUCAUCAUCGUCAUCAUCGUCAUCCUCAUGGUUGCCAUGGUGAUGAUGAUGAUGGUGGUGACUGGGGGAGCCUUCAUCGCUUUGAUGAUGAGGAAGGUGAUGAAGGUCAGCGGGGGAGCCUUCAUCCCCCUGAGGAUGAUGAUGAUGAUGAUGAUGAGGAUGAGGAUGAUGAAGGUGACCGGGGGAGCCUUCCUCGCUCUGCUGAGGAUGAGGAUGAUGGAGGGGGUCAGCGGGGGAGCCUUCAUCCCUCUGGUGAUGAUGAAGAGGAUGAUGAAGGUGACCGGGGGAGCCUUCCUCGCUCUGCUGAGGAUGAGGAUGAUGGAGGGGGUUGGCGGGGGAGCCUUCAUCCCCCUGGUGAUGAUGAAGAUGAGGAUGAUGGUCACCAAGGGAGCCUUCCUCACUCUGCUGAGGAUGAUGAGGAUGAUGAAGAUGAUGAAGGUGACCAGGGGAGCCUUCCUCGCUCUGCUGAGGAUGAGGAUGGUGCUGAGGAUGAUGAAGAUGAUGAAGGUCACUGGGGGAGCCUUCCUCACUCUGCUGAGGAUGAGGAUGAUGAUGAAGGUCCUCCAGGGCCGCCCCCACCCCGAGGAGCAGCAGCAGUAGGAGCCACAGCCUGGCCGGAGCCAUGAGUGACCACUGAGUGACCACUGAGUGACCGCUGGGUGACCACUGACCGCUGAGUGACCACUGACCGCUGGGUGAUCAAUGAGUGAUCGAUGAGUGAUCAAUGAGUGACCACUGACCGCUGAGUGACCACUGACCGCUGAGUGACCACUGACCGCUGAAUGACCACUGACCGCUGAGUGACCGCUGACUGCUGGGUGAUCAAUGAGUGAUCAAUGAGUGACCGCUGAGUGACAGCUGAGUGACCGCUGGGUGAUCAAUGAGUGAUCGAUGAGUGAUCAAUGAGUGACCGCUGAGUGACCACUGAAUGACCAUAGAGUGACCGGUGCCGAAUGACCACGGAGUUACCAGUGCUGAGUGACCAUGGAGUGACCGCUGGGUGACCGCUGACUGACCACAAAGUGACUGCUGGGUGACCGCUGAGUGACCAGCACAAAGUGACCGGUGGGUGACCACGGAGAGAUCACAGAGAGACCUCAGAGUGACCACAGAGUGACCGCUGAGUGACCAUGGAGUGACCAGUGCUGAGGACUGCUGAGUGACCACGGAGAGACUUCAGAGUGACAUCAGAGUGACCACGGAGUGACCACUGAGAGACCUCGGAGUGACCGCUGGGUGACCAGUGCUGAAUGACCACGGAGUGACCUCGGAGUGACUUCAGAGUGACCGCUGAGUGACCGAUGGGUGACCUCAGAGUAACUGCUGAGUGACCGCUGAGUGACCCCUGUGAGACCGUUGACUGACCGCUGGGUGACCACUGAGUGACCGCUGCUGAAUGACCACAGAGUGACCGCUGAGAGACCUCGGAGUGACUGAUGCUGAAUGACCACGGAGUGACCAGUGCUGAGUGACCGCUGAGUGACCGCUGGGUUACCAGUGCUGAAUGACCAUGGAGUGACCACUGAGAGACCGCUGAGUGACCGCUGAGUGACCAGUGCUGAAUGACCACGGAGUGACCGCUGAGUGACUGGUGCUGAAUGACCGCUGAGUGACCAGUGAUGAAUGACCUCAGAGUGACAUCAGAAUGACCACGGAGUGACCACGGAGUGACCGCUGAGUAACCGCUGAGUGACCUCUGAGUGACCGGUGCUGAGUGACCUCAGAAUGACGUCAGAAUGACCACGGAGUGACCGAUGAGUGACCGGUGCUGAAUGACCACGGAGUGACCAGUGACAAAUGACCACGGAAUGACCACUGAGUGACCGGUGCUGAGUGACCGCUGAGUGACCGCUGAGUGACCGCUGGGUGACCAGUGACGAAUGACCACGGAGUGACCACUGAGAGACCUCGGAGUGACCGGUGCUGAAUGACCACGGAAUGACCACAGAGUGACCGCAGAGUGACCUCGGAGUGACCGCUGAGAGACCACAGAGUGACCACUGACCACGGAGUGACCGAUGAGUGACCGCUGAGAGACCAAUGAGUGACCGCUGAGUGACCGCUGACCGCUGAGUGACCACUGAGUGACCAGAACAGAGUGACCAGCACCGAGUGACCACAGAGUGACCACAGAGUGACCACGGAGUGACCAGCACAAAGUGACCAGCACCGAGUGACCGCCGAGUGACCACAGAGUGACCACAGAGUGACCACAGAGUGACCACAGCAGCUGCGCCCCUCCCCCACCGCGGGACCCAAAAAUAGACACGGGGGGGGGAGGGGAAAUCGAGGAGAAAAACCCAAAAAUUCAACAUUUUGAUCCAUUUUUUGGGUUUUUUUUUCACAUUUUGGGGUGUCCCCAAAUUUGGGAGGGGGGGGGUGUCAAAUUUAGGGGGGGGUCACCCCAAAUUUGGGGGGUGGGGGGGUUGAAAUCGAGGAGAAAACCCCAAAAAUUCAAUAUUUU
RNAcentral lists this long non-coding RNA (4704 nucleotides) under Taeniopygia guttata (zebra finch). RNAcentral describes it as "lncRNA (ENSTGUG00000024189.1)". The record is from RNAcentral. Lineage: Eukaryota; Metazoa; Chordata; Aves; Passeriformes; Estrildidae.